GUUAUUCACAAGUGGCUCCAGUCUGGUUUGGGGGUCUACGCUUUCUCAUCCUGUCCUGCCACCCAAGUGAAGUUAUUCACAAGUGGCUCCAGUUUGGUUUGGGGGUCUACGCUUUCUCAUCCUGUCCUGCCACCUAAGUGAAGUUAUUCACAAGUGGCUCCAGUCUGGUUUGGGGGUCUACGCUUUCUCAUCCUGUCCUGAGUGAUUCUUGACAUUGAAAUUAUAUCAAAAUUUGUCAAUAAAUGUUCAUACUUUUGUCAUUAA
Long non-coding RNA from Sardina pilchardus (European sardine), 264 nucleotides. RefSeq lists it as uncharacterized. The record is from RefSeq and is a predicted model, not a curated record. NCBI's taxonomy places the organism in Eukaryota, Metazoa, Chordata, Actinopteri, Clupeiformes, Clupeidae. The transcript is spliced from 3 exons.